Molecule: ribosomal RNA, 498 nt
Filed under: uncultured bacterium
Lineage: Bacteria
Description: partial 16S ribosomal RNA
Rfam family: Bacterial small subunit ribosomal RNA
Source: RNAcentral
GACGAACGCUGGCGGCGUGCCUAAUACAUGCAAGUCGAGCGAAGUUUUUCUGGUGCUUGCACUAGAAAAACUUAGCGGCGAACGGGUGAGUAACACGUAAAGAACCUGCCUCAUAGACUGGGACAACUUUGGAAACGAUAGCUAAUACCGGAUAACAGUAUUUCUCGCAUGAGAGAUAUUUAAAAGUUGGUUAUGCUAACACUAUGAGAUGGCUUUGCGGUGCAUUAGCUAGUUGGUGGGGUAAAGGCCCACCAAGGCGACGAUGCAUAGCCGACCUGAGAGGGUGAUCGGCCACACUGGGACUGAGACACGGCCCAGACUCCUACGGGAGGCAGCAGUAGGGAAUCUUCCGCAAUGGGCGAAAGCCUGACGGAGCAACGCCGCGUGAGUGAAGAAGGAUUUCGGUUCGUAAAGCUCUGUUGUUAGGGAAGAAUGGAUAUGUAGUAACUAUACAUGUAAGAGACGGUACCUAACCAGAAAGCCACGGCUAACUACGUG